This 424-nucleotide ribosomal RNA is filed under the name uncultured bacterium. Its description in RNAcentral is "bacterial SSU rRNA". It matches the Rfam family "Bacterial small subunit ribosomal RNA", at positions 358 to 795 of the family's 1533-position model. The record is from RNAcentral.
GGAAUUUUCCGCAAUGGGCGAAAGCCUGACGCAGCGACGCCGCGUGGAGGAUGACGGUCUUCGGAUUGUAAACUCCUGUUAUGUGGGAAGAAAUAGGAUGACGGUACCAUUAGAGAAAGCACCGGCUAACUUCGUGCCAGCAGCCGCGGUAAUACGAGGGGUGCUAGCGUUAUUCGGAAUUAUUGGGCGUAAAGGGUGCGUAGACGGCAUUUCAAGUCAGCUGUUAAAUUUCUCGGCCUAACUGAGAAUCAGCGGUAGAUACUGAUAUGCUAGAGGACGGAAGAGAGAAGUGGAAUUCUCGGAGUAGCGGUAAAAUGCGUGGAUCUCGAGAGGAACACCAAUGGCGAAGGCAGCUUCUUGGUCCGUUUCUGACGUUGAGGCACGAAAGCGUGGGGAGCAAACAGGAUUAGAUACCCCUGUAGUC